Carassius gibelio (silver crucian carp) is the source of this 1112-nucleotide long non-coding RNA. RefSeq lists it as uncharacterized. The transcript is spliced from 3 exons. NCBI's taxonomy places the organism in Eukaryota, Metazoa, Chordata, Actinopteri, Cypriniformes, Cyprinidae. The record is from RefSeq and is a predicted model, not a curated record.
UGUUGAGGCCGUUGGAUAGGACUUUGGGAUGUUUUAACCCAAGUUUGGGUUGAAAAUAACUCUCUUUUUUAACCCAGCGGGGUGGGUUGAGGACGCGGACGUGAAGGAGAGCACGCACGUCACGUCAAAAUCGUACGUCUCCAGUGCGAGCAGCCGCCAUUUUCUCAGCGUGAUAGAAGCGAGAAGUGAGUGAAAGACUAUGACUUGUCCAGCUCCUGUCUUCAUUGUCCUCGCGUUGAGAGUUAAAGACACAGAAGCUGUUUGUGUGAGGAGUCACAGACCUGUGUGAGGAUGAGGAGGAGGUGUUCUUCUGAAGAGAGGGACAGACGGUUUAAGGAGAGUAAACUUCAGAAUAACAUCAAGUUAUCUUUAUUUUUACUCAGACUAAAAUAAUGUGUGUGUUUUUUUUAGAUGUUGAAAUCCAGAGACAAGAUAACUUCAUUCUUUUGAGACUGAUAACUCAAACUAACUGGAGUUAAGGACACACAAGUGCUUGUGUGAGGAGGUGGUUUUCUCAGCUUCUUCUGAAGAGAGGGAAGGAUCGUUUAAGGCAAGUAAACUUCAUAAUUUCAUGUUAUCAGUUGUUGUUUUUUUACUAAGAGUAAAAUAAUGUUUGUUUUUGUAGAUGUUAAAAGCAAGAGACAUGGGAGAGAAUCAUUCCUUUGAGAUUUUAUGUAAGUUAUUUUUAGAAAAUAAAUUUUUCUGUUGUCUCCUGCCAGUUUACUUCACAUUUUGAUGCAACAACAGUGUAAUUACGUGCUCAUUUCAUUAAGACCAUUGAUGUCUGUGUUUUUUAUUGCAGAACUCAAACCAACUUUGGAGUUGUCUGAUUUGGAGAGUCAUUAUUCUUGGUCUUCGCUCUUAGAGGUAAAGUUCACACAAAAAAUAAUUUACUUGCCCUCAAGUCAUUCCAAACCUAUAAGACUUUUGUCUGUCUUUACAACAUAAAUUAAUAUAUUUUUAGUUUUCUCAUAAUAUUUGUUAAUCCAUUUAUAGUUUAGAUGAUCAGUAUUUUCAAGCUUCAUAAAUAUAGAGUUAUUGUAGAAGUAAAUUCUGAUAUUUAUAUAUGAAUACAUCUUAAAUUAUAUGAUAGCAAACAUGUAUGUUCAAAA